GAUGAACGCUGGCGGCGUGCCUAAUACAUGCAAGUCGAGCGAACAGACGAGGAGCUUGCUCCUCUGACGUUAGCGGCUGACGGGUGAGUAACACGUGGAUAACCUACCUAUAAGACUGGGAUACCUUCGGGAAACCGGAGCUAAUACCGGAUAAUAUAUUGAACCGCAUGGUUCAAUAAUGAAAGACGGUUUUGCUGUCACUUAUAGAUGGAUCCGCGCCGCAUUAGCUAGUUGCUAAGGUAACGGCUUACCAAGGCAACGAUGGGUAACCGACCUGAGAGGGUGAUCGGCCACACUGGAACUGAGACACGGUCCAGACUCCUACGGGAGGCAGCAGUAGGGAAUCUUCCGCAAUGGGCGAAAGCCUGACGGAGCAACGCCGCGUGAGUGAUGAAGGUCUUCGGAUCGUAAAACUCUGUUAUUAGGGAAGAACAAAUGUGUAAGUAACUAUGCACGUCUUGACGGUACCUAAUCAGAAAGCCACGGCUAACUACGUG
RNAcentral lists this ribosomal RNA (497 nucleotides) under uncultured bacterium. RNAcentral's name for it is "partial 16S ribosomal RNA". It matches the Rfam family "Bacterial small subunit ribosomal RNA", at positions 28 to 507 of the family's 1533-position model. The record is from RNAcentral.